Uloborus diversus is the source of this 733-nucleotide long non-coding RNA. RefSeq lists it as uncharacterized. The record is from RefSeq and is a predicted model, not a curated record. The transcript is spliced from 4 exons. NCBI's taxonomy places the organism in Eukaryota, Metazoa, Arthropoda, Arachnida, Araneae, Uloboridae.
GAUGCGUUCUGUAGUUGUAUGGGACAACAUUCGAAGUGGGGGAGGAAGCAUCCGAAGGAAUGAAGGUGACAGGGGGCAAAAAACUCGGCAGUUUUCUGUAUUCAACAGAAAUGGAAGGUUUGAAGAAGAAUAGUUACAAUCGUACCUGUGAAGAAUUCAAAAAUUCCAUCCUCGACGAACAGCCCGCUCGAGCUGAAUAUUUUGAUGCCGAGAGAUGACGUGCAGUUUCACGUGAUCUUAUCUACCCCGCUGAUGGGAGUCAGAUUGGAAAAGCUAAGGAUCUGGACUGAUUGACCCUCACAACUCCCAAUCUUUCAGCAUGAAGUCUUAGGAUUACCAUACAGUAUAGAAAACGUAGUGGUUCUCGGGAACCAUGCAUGGAAUGGAAUCUGGGUCAUCUGGUGAAACAGUGGACUAGACAAACCACCAACCACAUGGGAUGUGUCUUCUUACCUGGUUGAGGUCUUAUGUCCAGGCAUAGUGAUAUGGUUUUGAAUGUGGGUUGUAUAAAAUUAUCUGCAGUGGUCUUCUAUCAUUUGUUAUUUUAUCAAUAUUCAUUAUAAAUUUCAGUAGAAUCAUUUUUGACAGGUGAAGCAUGCAGUUUCAAAAUAUAAAAGUAUUUCUCCAUAUGCUUUUGGAAGAAUUCCAUGGAAAUGUGUAGCAAUUAUUUUGAAUGUUCAUAUAUAAGUAAGUAAGCUUGUGUUGCAUGUGUACGAAUUUUAAAUGAAUAAAG